This 523-nucleotide ribosomal RNA is filed under the name Pseudomonas sp. LS79. RNAcentral describes it as "bacterial SSU rRNA". It matches the Rfam family "Bacterial small subunit ribosomal RNA", at positions 68 to 586 of the family's 1533-position model. The record is from RNAcentral. Lineage: Bacteria; Pseudomonadati; Pseudomonadota; Gammaproteobacteria; Pseudomonadales; Pseudomonadaceae.
GGAUGAAGGAGCUUGCUCCUGGAUUCAGCGGCGGACGGGUGAGUAAUGCCUAGGAAUCUGCCUGGUAGUGGGGGACAACGUUUCGAAAGGAACGCUAAUACCGCAUACGUCCUACGGGAGAAAGCAGGGGACCUUCGGGCCUUGCGCUAUCAGAUGAGCCUAGGUCGGAUUAGCUAGUUGGUGAGGUAAUGGCUCACCAAGGCGACGAUCCGUAACUGGUCUGAGAGGAUGAUCAGUCACACUGGAACUGAGACACGGUCCAGACUCCUACGGGAGGCAGCAGUGGGGAAUAUUGGACAAUGGGCGAAAGCCUGAUCCAGCCAUGCCGCGUGUGUGAAGAAGGUCUUCGGAUUGUAAAGCACUUUAAGUUGGGAGGAAGGGCAGUAAAUUAAUACUUUGCUGUUUUGACGUUACCGACAGAAUAAGCACCGGCUAACUCUGUGCCAGCAGCCGCGGUAAUACAGAGGGUGCAAGCGUUAAUCGGGAAUUACUCGGACUAAAGCGCGCGUAGGUGGUUUGUAAG